GAGGUCCUAAAGGAGGCGCCGCCGCCAUCGUUGUGGACCUUCGGGUCGCCAUCGAGACACCUCUGUUGAGUAUUCCUUCGCCUUCACACGGUGAUGGGCAUGGUGGCGGAAGAAGGUCGUCUUCUCAGAGCACCGCACGCUGGCCGCCGUCUUCAUCCGCGGCCGCACCAACAAGACAGGUAUGCCGCCGUGCCCUCGACGUAUUCCCUACUCCCAUGCACUCAUGGAACUCCGCAUCGCCUCUUUUGCCCUUUGGCAGACUCCACUAGAAAUUCCUAUAAAGGGGAUUUAGCUUAGAAGAACAAUAGACAAAUUCUAUAAUUAAUUGUGGAUUUCUUCUGUUAUUUAGUGUUUCUGAAUUAGGUCAAGAAUGUACUGCUUACAUUGCAGACUGUAUAAUUCGGAUGGGUCUUCUUCUACAUGGUGACUAUUGACGCAAAGAAGGAUUGCACUUCGUCCCCAUCUUCUACAUAGCCUAUACGUACGUGAUUACUCAGAUUUCAAUUUAGUGUGAAUAUUCACUAUCAUGAUACUUGUCUGCAUCAAGAUGAGUUGGUCGGUGCUUAAUCUGAAAUGGUUGCUGCUGUCCAGCCAGCAGCACCGUAGACGAGCCCAUCAACAACAUGAUGGGAACCAACCGUACUUCUUGAUCCGGUAUCUAAACCAUUGAUCGUCAGUGUUGUUACGGAAGGUGCGGAGGAGGGAGAAGGUUUUGCCGAUAACUGGCACAACGAGGUUAGGUGUAGGUCUGGGCGCUGGUGCUGGUGGAGGCGCACCACUGGAGCUCGACCAUGACUCGGUCGGACAGCACUUUGAGCCAUCAUAAAAAUAUCAUGAUCAUCUUUUGGCGAAUACAAAGGUGUUUAUAACCUCAUAAGCAAAGACAUGUAGUAUUGCUUGUAUAUUUAGAGAUACUAUGGGAAUUGAUACACUCAUAGCUUUUUUUUCUUAGUUGUAUGUUGUGUUGUCACUUUUUUCUGAUCUCUGUCAUGCAUAUGUUUUGACUAAAUUAUGGUUGUUGUUUAUGGUUGUCAAAUUAAGCCAUUGAUAGAGAUAAGCAAAAGUAGUUGUUGAUUGACCAAGCGGAGAGACAACUUAGAGACACUAUAACAGUUAGGAAUUUAAGUAGCGGGACCAAAUUAUGUCAUGCUUUAUAACAUGUCAUCGAUUCUUCAUGUAGCUUACUACUUGAUUCUAACACUUUUUCUUUGGAUGCAGCAAGAAUCAUACCCCACCCACACGGUGGCACGACGCAGAAGGGCUACAUGGGUCUAUAGCGGCGCGUGCAAUGGAAGGACACCUAUGGGAACAAGCUCACCGAGGUCUUGGAAUUCCAACCUAGAUAAACAAGUGAACUCAUUUUAACAGUUUUCCUUUUUUUGUGAUGCAGGCUAGCUCAUUCAUUAAGGGCUACUCAGCUCUGCUUUUGCCCUCCCUUUGGAGAUUGGAUUAUAUGGUACUCUGUGUUGAAGGCUCUUCAUACUAAAUUUAAUAAAUCUUGUCAUGUUUUCAUAGGUUGCCUAUUUUCUCACCCUGCAUGGAAUGGUGAAUGUUUGUAGCAUGGUCACUUGGUCAGGUUUUGAUUACUUUUAUCACUGCACAUACCUUCAGAAAAUAACCCAAUGAGGCUAGCUCGUUCUUUCUACUUAUACACCUACACAUGGGAUGCUCUGUUAAUUUUGUUGUGCAAAUAAUCAUUAUUCCUGUUGAUGAACAAUGAUAAUGGCUCCCAAAACUACAACACUUGCUGCUUCAGUGUAUGUCUACUGUAUCGUAAAAGAAUAUGAUUAUAUCUUUUGCUUUGUAGUGCCCUGUUCACGAGAAUGAUGCUGAGAAGGCAAUAGGUCAUGCAUGCUAGCUUUGGCAUGGACACGCUUCAAAACUGUCUCUGUCCAUAGGGUUACUGAUUACUGCUUGUGAUGUUUAAGAGUGAUGCACAGGAACAGGAUUAUUUUUAUGUGAAGGUGGAUAGAAAUAACUUUACUUGAGAAGGAGCUUUUCAUUGCAUCUGAUUUGUACUAUCAGUAUCAGACUUCAUUCCUGUGAAGUAACAUUUGGGCAAAAUGGGCAACAUGUGUUUGGUCAUUGCCGUGCUUUGUUUCUUAGGCUCGUGCUAUGAUAACUUGAUGACACCCCUUUAUAGACAUUAUAGUAUAGAGCAUUCUCAUGCAUUAAGUUCAGUGCAAGGAAAAUGGAUAAAGUAUGCAAACUGGAACAAGAUAGUUGAUCCUUUAAAUGGGGAGUACAAAUUUAUUGCAAUAAUCUAUAUAUGCCCUGCAGAACCUGUACACCUUGCAAUAGGUAGAGA
This 2308-nucleotide long non-coding RNA is filed under the name Triticum aestivum (bread wheat). RNAcentral describes it as "long non-coding RNA (TAES_LNC025621)". Lineage: Eukaryota; Viridiplantae; Streptophyta; Magnoliopsida; Poales; Poaceae. The record is from RNAcentral.